UAGGGAAUCUUCGGCAAUGGACGAAAGUCUGACCGAGCAACGCCGCGUGAGUGAAGAAGGUUUUCGGAUCGUAAAACUCUGUUGUUAGAGAAGAACAAGGACGUUAGUAACUGAACGUCCCCUGACGGUAUCUAACCAGAAAGCCACGGCUAACUACGUGCCAGCAGCCGCGGUAAUACGUAGGUGGCAAGCGUUGUCCGGAUUUAUUGGGCGUAAAGCGAGCGCAGGCGGUUUCUUAAGUCUGAUGUGAAAGCCCCCGGCUCAACCGGGGAGGGUCAUUUGAAAAUGGGAGACUUGAGUGCAGAAGAGGAGAGUGGAAUUCCAUGUGUAGCGGUGAAAUGCGUAGAUAUAUGGGGGAACACCAGUGGCGAAGGCGGCUCUCUGGUCUGUAACUGACGCUGAGGCUCGAAAGCGUGGGGAGCAAACAGG
Molecule: ribosomal RNA, 429 nt
Filed under: Gemmatimonadota bacterium
Lineage: Bacteria; Pseudomonadati; Gemmatimonadota
Description: Gemmatimonadetes bacterium partial 16S ribosomal RNA
Rfam family: Bacterial small subunit ribosomal RNA
Source: RNAcentral